Molecule: ribosomal RNA, 652 nt
Filed under: Bacillus sp. (in: firmicutes)
Lineage: Bacteria; Bacillati; Bacillota; Bacilli; Caryophanales; Bacillaceae
Description: bacterial SSU rRNA
Rfam family: Bacterial small subunit ribosomal RNA
Source: RNAcentral
AGACUGGGAUAACUUCCGGAAACCGGAGCUAAUACCGGAUAAUCCUUUCCUACUCAUGUAGGAAAGCUGAAAGACGGGUUACGCUGUCACUUACAGAUGGGCCCGCGGCGCAUUAUCUAGUUGGGGAGGUAACGGCUCACCAAGGCGACGAUGCGUAGCCGACCUGAGAGGGUGAUCGGCCACACUGGGACUGAGACACGGCCCACACUCCUACGGGAGGCAGCAGUAGGGAAUCUUCCGCAAUGGACGAAAGUCUGACGGAGCAACGCCGCGUGAGUGAUGAAGGUUUUCGGAUCGUAAAACUCUGUUGUUAGGGAAGAACAAGUACGAGAGUAACUGCGCGCACCUUGACGGUACCUAACCAGAAAGCCACGGCUAACUACGUGCCAGCAGCCGCGGUAAUACGUAGGUGGCAAGCGUUGUCCCGAAUUAUUGGGCGUAAAGCGCGCGCAGGCGGUCCUUUAAGUCUGAUGUGAAAGCCCCCGGCUCAACCGCGGAGGGUCAUUGGAAACUGGGGGACUUGAGUGCAGAAAAGAAGAGUGGAAUUCNNCGUGUAGCGGUGAAAUGCGUACAGAUGUGGAGGAACACCAGUGGGGAAAGCGACUCUUUGGUCUGUAACUGACGCUCAGGAGCGAAAACGUGGGGAGCGAAC